This 465-nucleotide ribosomal RNA is filed under the name Vreelandella stevensii. RNAcentral's name for it is "partial 16S ribosomal RNA". It matches the Rfam family "Bacterial small subunit ribosomal RNA", at positions 338 to 795 of the family's 1533-position model. Lineage: Bacteria; Pseudomonadati; Pseudomonadota; Gammaproteobacteria; Oceanospirillales; Halomonadaceae. The record is from RNAcentral.
CCUACGGGUGGCAGCAGUGGGGAAUAUUGGACAAUGGGCGAAAGCCUGAUCCAGCCAUGCCGCGUGUGUGAAGAAGGCCUUCGGGUUGUAAAGCACUUUCAGUGGGGAAGAAAGCCUUGGGGCUAAUACCCUCGAGGAAGGACAUCACCCACAGAAGAAGCACUGGCUAACUCCGUGCCAGCAGCCGCGGUAAUACGGAGGGUGCGAGCGUUAAUCGGAAUUACUGAGCGUAAAGCGCGCGUAGGCGGUCUGAUAAGCCGGUUGUGAAAGCCCCGGGCUCAACCUGGGAACGGCAUCCGGAACUGUCAGGCUAGAGUGCAGGAGAGGAAGGUAGAAUUCCCGGUGUAGCGGUGAAAUGCGUAGAGAUCGGGAGGAAUACCAGUGGCGAAGGCGGCCUUCUGGACUGACACUGACGCUGAGGUGCGAAAGCGUGGGUAGCAAACAGGAUUAGAUACCCGGGUAGUC